GGGUGAUCGGCCACAUUGGAACUGAGAGACGGUCCAAACUCCUACGGGAGGCAGCAGUGGGAAUAUUGGGCAAUGGGGGAAACCCUGACCCAGCAACGCCGCGUGAAGGAAGAAGGUCUUCGGAUCGUAAACUUCUAUCCUUGGUGAAGAGGAGAAGACGGUAGCCAAGAAGGAAGCCCCGGCUAACUACGUGCCAGCAGCCGCGGUAAUACGUAGGGGGCAAGCGUUGUCCGGAAUGAUUGGGCGUAAAGGGCGUGUAGGCGGCCUGGUAAGUCUGGAGUGAAAGUCCUGUUUUUAAGAUGGGAAUUGCUUUGGAUACUGUUGGGCUAGAGUGCAGGAGAGGUAAGUGGAAUUCCCAGUGUAGCGGUGAAAUGCGUAGAGAUUGGGAGGAACACCAGUGGCGAAGGCGACUUACUGGACUGUAACUGACGCUGAGGCGCGAAAGUGUGGGGAGCAAACAGGAUUAGAUACCCUGGUAGUCCACACUGUAAACGAUGAAUGCUAGGUGUAGGGGGUAUCGACCCCUUCUGUGCCGGAGUAAACACAAUAAGCAUUCCGCCUGGGGAGUACGGCCGCAAGGUUGAAACUCAAAGGAAUUGACGGGGGCCCGCACAAGCAGCGGAGCAUGUGGUUUAAUUCGAAGCAACGCGAAGAACCUUACCAGGUCUUGACAUCCAGUAAAGCCUGUAGAGAUACAGAGUCCCUUCGGGGGUACUGAGACAGGUGGUGCAUGGUUGUCGUCAGCUCGUGUCGUGAGAUGUUGGGUUAAGUCCCGCAACGAGCGCAACCCUUAUGAUUAGUUACUAACGGGUAAAGCCGAGGACUCUAAUGAGACUGCCGGGGACAACUCGGAGGAAGGUGGGGACGACGUCAAAUCAUCAUGCCCCUUAUGACCUGGGCUACACACGUGCUACAAUGGCCACUACAAAGAGGAGCGAACCUGCAAGGGGGAGCGGAUCUCAAAAAAGUGGUCCCAGUUCGGAUUGUGGGCUGCAACCCGCCCACAUGAAGUCGGAGUUGCUAGUAAUCGCGGAUCAGCAUGCCGCGGUGAAUACGUUCCCGGGCCUUGUACACACCGCCCGUCACACCAUGGGAGUUGGGAGUGCCCAAAGUCGGCGAGGUAACCGCAAGGAGCCAGCCGCCUAAGGCAAGACCAAUGACUGGGGUGAAGUCGAAACAAGGUAGCCGUAUCGGAAGGUGCGGCUG
RNAcentral lists this ribosomal RNA (1206 nucleotides) under metagenome. RNAcentral's name for it is "bacterial SSU rRNA". It matches the Rfam family "Bacterial small subunit ribosomal RNA", at positions 298 to 1520 of the family's 1533-position model. The record is from RNAcentral.